AGUGAACGCUGGCGGUAGGCCUAACACAUGCAAGUCGAACGGCAGCACAGUAAGAGCUUGCUCUUACGGGUGGCGAGUGGCGGACGGGUGAGGAAUACAUCGGAAUCUACUUUUUCGUGGGGGAUAACGUAGGGAAACUUACGCUAAUACCGCAUACGACCUACGGGUGAAAGCAGGGGAUCUUCGGACCUUGCGCGAUUGAAUGAGCCGAUGUCGGACUAGCUAGUUGGCGGGCUAAAGGCCCACCAAGGCGACGAUCCGUAGCUGGUCUGAGAGGAUGAUCAGCCACACUGGAACUGAGACACGGUCCAGACUCCUACGGGAGGCAGCAGUGGGGAAUAUUGGACAAUGGGCGCAAGCCUGAUCCAGCCAUACCGCGUGGGUGAAGAAGGCCUUCGGGUUGUAAAGCCCUUUUGUUGGGAAAGAAAAGCAGCAGGUUAAUACCCCGCUGUUCUGACGGUACCCAAAGAAUAAGCACCGGCUAACUUCGUG
This 492-nucleotide ribosomal RNA is filed under the name uncultured bacterium. Its description in RNAcentral is "partial 16S ribosomal RNA". It matches the Rfam family "Bacterial small subunit ribosomal RNA", at positions 29 to 507 of the family's 1533-position model. The record is from RNAcentral.